RNAcentral lists this ribosomal RNA (233 nucleotides) under uncultured bacterium. RNAcentral's name for it is "partial 16S ribosomal RNA". It matches the Rfam family "Bacterial small subunit ribosomal RNA", at positions 1271 to 1500 of the family's 1533-position model. The record is from RNAcentral.
AACUCAAAAACUUAGUCUCAGUUCGGAUUGUUAGGCUGAAACUCGCCUACAUGAAGCUGGAGUUGCUAGUAAUCGCGAAUCAGCAUGUCGCGGUGAAUACGUUCCCGGGCCUUGUACACACCGCCCGUCACACCAUGAGAGUUGGCAAUACCCAACGUACGUGAUCUAACCCGCAAGGGAGGAAGCGUCCUAAGGUAGGGUCAGCGAUUGGGGUGAAGUCGUAACAAGGUAAC